CAAUUCACAUCUGUUACUGCAGUAUUUACAUAAACAAUGGGAUAAAGAGAAUGGAUGUAAAAAAAGGGCAUUGGUUGAAACAAGUGAAGAAUCUGCCUCAACAUCUAGAAAACGACCAAGAUUAGAUACAGAUGUUACAUUGUAAAACAUAUUUCGAUUAAAUAAUUCAAAUGUUGAGGUCUGGCCUAUACCUCGAGGAUUGCUGGCAAAGUGACUUGUAUUUUAGAUGCUAUGUAUGCUUUACGGUAGUGUUUUGUGGACAAAUAUUGUAUUCUUAGGUUGAAAUAUCAAAUGUGCAUUUUUAUGUAACAUGUAUAGAAUACAGUGGUUUUUUAUAGAUUAGUAUAAUAUAUAAUAGUUAUAUUGACUAGGUUAUGGUUAAUUAAAUACAGUAUUCUACAUGAAAAUAAUUUGUGAUUAUAAAAUCGUACACAAUAACAUA
Long non-coding RNA from Acyrthosiphon pisum (pea aphid), 442 nucleotides. RefSeq lists it as uncharacterized. The record is from RefSeq and is a predicted model, not a curated record. NCBI's taxonomy places the organism in Eukaryota, Metazoa, Arthropoda, Insecta, Hemiptera, Aphididae. The transcript is spliced from 3 exons.